Molecule: transfer RNA, 68 nt
Filed under: Marmota monax (woodchuck)
Lineage: Eukaryota; Metazoa; Chordata; Mammalia; Rodentia; Sciuridae
Description: tRNA.Arg
Source: RNAcentral
GGUUUGUAGCUCAGUGGUAGAGCACUCGCUCCCUACAUGUGAGGCACUGGGUUCAAUCCUCAGCACCA